Peromyscus eremicus (cactus mouse) is the source of this 106-nucleotide small nucleolar RNA. RefSeq annotates it as small nucleolar RNA U13. The transcript has a single exon. The record is from RefSeq and is a predicted model, not a curated record. NCBI's taxonomy places the organism in Eukaryota, Metazoa, Chordata, Mammalia, Rodentia, Cricetidae.
AAAGAUAAGUGGCUCAUGAGCGAUGACUAGGUUUCAUGCCACACUGUGAUAUGUGCCUCCCUAAGCCUCGUCAGGACAUAUGAUUGGGCACAUGACCCAUCUGAUG